Molecule: non-coding RNA, 7658 nt
Organism: Misgurnus anguillicaudatus (oriental weatherfish)
Lineage: Eukaryota; Metazoa; Chordata; Actinopteri; Cypriniformes; Cobitidae
Source: RefSeq, a predicted model, not a curated record
ACCGUCGGCUGACGAAGGAGCCGGAACAGUAAUCAAAUUUCUGACAAGAGAGGUUAUUCCUAGAUUCGGAAUACCAUCAGAAAUAAGUUCAGAUAAUGGAUCAGCGUUCAUUCAAAAAACAGUAAAACAAGUACUACAACAUUUAAGAAUAAAGCAAAGAUUGGGAUGUGUUUAUCAUCCACAAUCUCAAGGGAUGGUUGAAAAAGCCAAUGGAAUCAUUAAGGCAAAACUCAAUAAAAUAUGUGCUAGUACUAAACUUAACUGGAUUGAUGCUUUACCUCUUGCACUAAUGAGCUAUCGCAUGCAAACUAACAGAACUACACAUCUAACACCGCAUGAAAUGCUUACAGGUCGACCUAUGCCCGCUCCACACUGCAGAGGUCCAUAUUCUGGGCCUCCAUUAGAGCAAUUGCAAAUGGAAUUAAGGUCAUACAUGAAAAAGCUAACUGCUAUCCAUAAAGCUAUUUUUGUGCAGGAAAAGAGAAAGCAGCCUAGUGAGGAGACGGAGACCACAUGUCCAAUUGUCCCAGGGGACCAAGUCUAUCUGAGGGUUUUCAGGGGGAAAUGGAACGAAGCCAGAAGGGAAGGACCAUAUAAAGUGGUGGCCUCUACCCCAACAGCAGUCCGAGUGGAAGGCAGCAACACGUGGUACCACUUAAACCACUGCACUAAAGCUCAUAAAGAAAAAACAGUGACUGGAGAGGACAGCCUUGGAACAACCAGCCAAGAAACUUCUGCUAAAAGCAAUGAGGCACAAGAUGCGGCAUCAGGAAAUGACCAUGGACAGAACACAUCUGACGACAUGCCUGAUCAUCAUAUGCUUGUGGCCAGUUCAUGCUUUAAACAACACCACGACUCCGCCUCCAGUUAUUCAGGCCCAGAAUCACACCACCCUGCCAUUGACUUCAACACCUGUAACUCCAAUGCUGAACCACACUUCCCUGUCAUCAACUUCACUUUCAACCACACAGCCUUUUAAUCUUACAACUUUUAAAGCAACGGAGCGUGCAACCGCACAGACUCUGAACCAUACCUCCUUUACAUCAACUACAUUUGCAACCACACAGACUCUGAACCAUACCUCCUUUAUAACAACUACGUUUGCAACCAUACAAACUUUGAACUCUACAUCCAUUACGUCUACAACGUUUGCAACCACACAAACUCUGAACUUUACAUCCCUUACGUUAACAGCGCUUGCACCCACACAGACUUUGAAUCACACAUCCCGUAUGUCAACGCCAUAUACAAACACAGAGACUUUGACGAACACAUCCCUUAAGUCUUUAACGUUACUACCGUCAACACAAACGCCUAACCAUACAUACUUGCCAUUGAUUGUUGAACCCUCAAAAGGACUGAGGAACAAUACAAUCUCAAAUACAACUGAACUAACAUGGAGAGGAAAACAACGUAGAGAUAUUGAGGACGAUUACAGUAUGUACGGAGAAGAUACCCAACUAGACAUUUUAUGGGAAACAGCAAAAAGUAAUCAAUGGUAUGAAUGGGCAACUUUUACAGCAACAGAUUUACAAGAAAAAAACUGUUUGUUUUGUGCUAAAUCACCUGCAAGUCAAGUAAUAAUAGUGCCAAAUCCAUUUGAUUUUGAAAAAUGUGCUGAGAUUAAUAGACUCCAUUGUAAUGUGAAACUGUACAAACCUAUUUGUCCAGCAGAAUGUUUAGGUUCACUAAGUAAUAGCAAAGAAAGACUUAUGUAUCGACACAUACGAUCAUUAGCAGCUAGAUGUCGAGGUAUCGGUGUAUCAAAAAUUAUGCAAAUACAAAAUGAUCAAAUAGAAAUCCCACAAUGGUACAUCAUAGAUUAUAGUAAGGAAUAUGAGUGCUUUGUAAAAACCACAGGGAAUAUUAAUAUGGGUAAAUUUAAAGGAAAAUGCAAAGUAAUUUGGACUUUAGAUAAGACAAAAAUUCGACACGUCAGCGAUACCUUAGAUCUCCCACCUAUGAGGUCAUCAGGAAUAAGAAAUGGGAAGAUAAUAAUUCCAGAAAAAACCUGUGAAAAUCAAAGUACAGCAUUCCCCGAUGUAGACACCUUUACUGAUCAAACACAAGCAAUAGCAGAUUUUUUCUGGAUUUGCGGACAUAGAAAACUUUUACCUUCUUUGCCUUUAGGAUGGAAAGGAAAAUGUACAAGAGUACGACUAAUACAGGAGAUUCAUAUAAUGGAAUGGGAUUUUGAUUACAAGUCAGAACCAAAGGACACAAGUAACCGUAGAGUUAAGAGAGGUUACGAAUCAGAUCCUACAGUAUACAUCGACGCAAUAGGUCAACCCAGAGGUAUACCAAAUCAAUUUAAGGCCCGAGAUGAAGUUAAAGCAGGUUUUGAGUCAAUAUUCAUUUGGAUUUCACAAAAUAAAAAUACAGAAUGGAUCAAUUAUAUAUACUACAACCAGCAGAGAUUCAUUAACCACACCAAUGAAGCUUUAACUUCACUUGGAGAGCAACUAGAUGCAACCAGUAAAAUGACAUGGCAAAAUAGACUCGCGCUUAAUUGGAUAUUAGCGGAUAAAGGAGGAGUGUGUAUUUUAUUUUCUAAUUACUGCUGUACUUUCAUACCUAAUAAUACAGCACCAGAAGGUACGUUUACAAAAGCUAUGACCAAACUCAAAGAGUUACAGAUUGAAAUGGCAACUAAUGCCGGAAGGGAUGAGAAAAUGUGGGAUUGGUUCGAUUUAAAACUAGGAGCAUGGGGAGCUUGGUUAGCAAAAUUAGGAAUAUUUGUAGGAGUAGCGAUCGGCAUCGGAGGAUUAUUAUUUUGUUGUGUCAUACCGUUAUUAAAAUCCCUCGUUAUCAAAGCUACUGUUAAACAAAUGGAAAUGACAACUUAUCAGGAUGAUAAAAAACUAAAGGCACAAAAUGAUCAGUCCAUGCUUUACCAGGACUUACUUUACAGAACAGUAAUGAACCUACAGUUAGUAAAUGAAUAUUCAAGCACCUCUGAGGAGGAUGAAAACGAGGAAUAAAAGCAAAUCUCAAGCGCAUGUAGGUUAAGUAUAAUCAAAACGUAUUACACGAAUCUUACUUAAAAUUUAUUAUUAGGUAGUACUUUUGUUUUAUUGAUUUGAGUUUACUUUUUGUUUUGGGUUUAUAUGUAUGCUUAGCUUUAGUUUAUAUUGGGUUUUAUAUGUAUGCAUAGCUUUAGUUCAUAUUGGGGAAUUUUAUAUACACUUGUGUUAUUCAAUUUAAUUUACAUGUCUCUCGUGUUUAUCAUGCAUACAUAACUUAGAUUGUAGUAUCAAUUAUUUCAAUUUACUUAUUUUAUUUGGUUUGAUUUAAAUUUACAUUUUACUUUAUGGUUAUCAUACAUACUUAGUUUUGUUGAUUAUUUCUGGUUACUUAUUUUUUGAUUUAACUUUAUAUUUACCUUAUAAUUAUUAUAAUUAUUAUGCAUGCUUUACUUAAUUUUGUUUAUUUCUACUUACUUGGUUUGAUUUUACUUUACAUUUAUUUGUUCUCUAUACAUACUUUAUUUUUGUUUUAAUUACUUACUAUAUUAUUGCUUUUCAUUUGCCAACAUUUAUAUAUACGGUAUGAUUAACAUAUAUUUUGUACCAUGUAUUUACCCAGUUUUACCACAUAUGUUCAAUAUAACUACAACAGCCGCAGACAAGUGCAGAACCAAUUGCACACAACCUGUUUAUGUAGGACUUAAGUUCUUUUACUUUUACAUUCAAAGACAAGAUAAGAAUGGAAAGAUGUUUGCUCUUAUUGUCCAUAGUUCGAAGUGCAGUGGCAUAAUUUAGUAAUUGGUAAUGUAUAGUGGUUUUCUUUAACCACAAUAUAUAGGGAUAACUGAGAAACUGAAUUAUGAAACGGCACUCCGGAUUAAAAUAAAUAAACAGGAAAGUGAGGCUAGGUAAGCCUCAGAGCGGGGAUUAUGAAGAAGUUUGUUUUAAUCCGAAUAUAAAGGAAUUAAGUAUAAUCUUACUUUACCAUUAUGUUUUUCUAUAUGAAUAUAACCAUAGUUCACCAUUGUGUGUAUGAAAUUUACCAGCAUGCAUUGCAGUAUGUUCUUAUACAUGGCGAAGGUUGUUACAUGUCGAAGGCCGAGACAAAAGACGUACUGUACUCUUGACAAAGUGAUGCCAUAUGUUUUCCAUAUGAUACAAACCAUAUGUUACUGAAUAUUAGACCAUAUAUGGAGUACAUGGGGUGGGGAGGCCCCCUUAUAUAUAUACCACUUGGGGUACAGUAAAACUUUAGUGGAUCUUGCAAGAUCUCCUCACGGCUUUAUUUUGCUGACAAUAAAGUCCAUCUUUGAAUUCAAAACCUAAGAUUGAAGAUUGUUUCAUCUGAAAAAGGGAAACCACAACACUGCCUCAUUUGUUUGUCAUUUUGGUUAAUCACAACUAAACUGAACUGUAUGGAAGCUUAUGUGUAGCAAUAUUCAAUUUGAAAUGUAAUAUGCAAAAUGGCAAUGCAUUUCUGUAUUUAAAUUUUAAUUUUCCAAUACAUUUGUGCAAUGUGUGGUGCAAAAUGAAAAUUCAAUAAUAUAUUUACAUUUGCCAUUUCAUACACUAAUUUUAAUAUGUAAAUUGAAUAAUAAUUUUAACGCUUUAUAAGUUGCAAAAUUAAAAUGUAUUACAUACAGUAUAGUAUCGUAUACUGUAGUGUACAAUAGACAAUAAAUAUUAACACAACAACAUUGAUAUGAGUAAAGAGUAGUUUCAAAUACAACAUGUGUGGCUAUAAGGGAUUUUCUGACAUCUGUUAUAUAUUCUUACAGGUAUGAAGAAUACCAGAUGAACAAAAGCAUCGUAGAUGAUUCACAACAGCCUUCAAUCUCACAAUUCCUGGACACUCGUGUAGGGCGUUACAGCAUGAGCCACCCACAGCAGAAGGCCAACUCCAAUGCGAUACUGUCUGACCUGAUUAUUGACUGCAAUUUUUCUCUGUCAAUUGUGGAAAAUAAGAGCUUUCGUCACUUUCUGGCUGUGCUGGAGAGCAAGUAUACCCCAGUCUGUCGCCAAACGCUGACCACAAAAACAGAGAGCCUUGCUGAGGAGAGACGUUCAAAGUUAAAAACUGAAUUGAGCAACACUGACCAUGUUUCAGUCACUGUGGACAUUUGAUCUGAUCGAAAGAUGAGGGGAUUCCUUGGUGUCACUGUGCACUGGAUGGAGAGAACUGUCAUUCACACCAUGAGAGUGGAAUCUGCUGAAGGAGUUGGUGGACAUUUUGAAACCUUUCGGAGAAGCAACUGAUUUGACACAGGGAGAUAAAGUCAUAACAAUCAGUGCAGUUGUUCCAUCUGUCUUGUCCCUCAAUCACCAUCUUGAGAAGCUGAAGCCUCAAGUUCGUUUCCUGAGCGGCCUGGUCAAAGGUUUGCAGGUAUCCCUGAAAAAAAGAUUUCUUGGGAUCUUCAUUAAUGUGAAAAUGGCCCAGUCUCAAGAAGGGAUCACUGCCCCCUUUUCAGAUACAGUCUAUCUGAAAGCAGCUGCCUUGGAUCCAGCCUUUUGUCUGCUGUGGAUUGAGCCCCAUGUGCUGGCCAACCGUGACAUCAAGGCAGAGGUGGCACAACGAGUUAAAGAAUUGAUCCUGCAAGAUGCGGCAGAGAUGGAGCAUCCUGUGCCUGUGUCGCUGCCUGCUGAAGAAGAACCAGAGGACAUGGACGGAGAAGGGCUGUUUGCUGCAUACCAUAAGAGGCAGAAAAGGGAUGUUGGGACCCCACCAGCAGUACAGCUAAGUCACUAUAUUGACAUGGCAGAAGGACAGAAUGCCCUUUUGUUCUGGGCACUGAACAGUAAGACUCUUCCUGCCCUCUUUCAUGUAGCCAUCCGAGUCUUGUCAGUGCCUGCUUCUAGUGCUCCAGUGGAGCGAGUUUUCAGCCAUGGUGGCAUCAUUCUGCAUCCACAUCGCGCACAAAUGACUGACAGACUUUUGGCCAAUGUGAUAUUUUGCAAAUGCAAUGCAGUGUAGGGGCCUCCCUCCACCUGUCCACAGCACGCAUGCGCACACACACUCACUCUCUGCUCAUCACCUGUCCACACAUUCUCUCUCUCUCUCUCUCUCUCUCUCUCUCUCUCUCUCUCUCUCUCUCUCACACACACACAAACACACACACACAAUCACGUUGGUUCAGUUUUUCAGUAAUAAUUUUGAGGAUUUUAUUGAUAACAUGUUUAAGUUAGCCCUAAGUUUAGGCUAAAAGGACCCAUGUCUAUUUGAAAGUUAAACUGUUAUAUGAGGCAAUAUGAGGUCAAAACAAUACAUGACUGAAGCUGCUGUGCAUUGUUCUAGUGCAAUAUGCUGUUGAAAUGCAAGCAUUUUUUGUAAAAAUUUUAAUUUGAAUUUUUUUACUGUAUUUGAUUACUGUAAGUGUAUAAAAAGAGGUUUAAAUAAAUACAAAUCUUACAGACAUACAUGAUUUGUAUAAAUUUUAUUUCUGUAGUAAGAUGACUUGAAAUGACUCGAAACUAAAAUGGUAGGACUUUGGACUCAACUUUAGACUUGUUGGCUUUGACUUCUGACUCGACUCGGGACUUGCCUCAUCUUUGACUCGACUUGACUCGGGACUCGAGGGCAAAGACUUGAGACUUACUUGUGACUUGCAUAACAAUGACUUUGUCCCACCUCUGGUCUAUAGUAAAUCAUACACUAGUAAUAAAUAAGAAUAACUAUACUCCAAGUAGUAUUAAAAGCAAAGGGAAAACUGUUUACCAUUAGAUUCAGGCAUAAUACAUUUUUUUAUUGUGCCACCCUAAGAUUUGUACUGGCCCCUUUGUGCCCCCCAAUAAAACAAUAAUGGGGGCGCCGGGUAAUCUGAAGCGCAUGGCCGCAUAAUCGCGCCAUCCCGUUUGGUCGGUGUUUAUUCCCCAAUUAAUAUAUAUUCAUGACUUAAAUUUUGUUUAAUCUGGUGAUGGAAGGGGACAAAAGUAGUAAAGGCAAAGGUAAGCAGCCCAGGAAAACGGAGAAGAGUGAUAAUACGUCGAUCGCGAAUGUCGUGUCUGAGGAGCAAGCAGAGCCUCAUGGUCUGAGCACGAGACUAACGAAUGUGGAUAUGGAUGACAAUAUCGCUGUCAUUCGAUCAGAUAUAAAGAUGAUGACUACAGAGAUGAAGUCUGAGCUGAGUCAUUUUCGAGACAAAAUCAGAGAUGACAUGAAAAAGGAGUUAGCGGACUUUCGGGAGGAAGUUCAGCGGGGUCUAAAUGAGGUUGCAGCUGAGCUAAAAUCCACCACAGACAGGGUGAGUGAGGCUGAGGCCCGGAUAGCCGAUGUGGAAGAAUGGUCUGUGGAUUUCAGAGAGGCUUUGAGUCUAUAGGUGUGUUCGACAUCUGCUGUGGCUGGAUGUAACCGAUCGGCGAGAUUAGCCGCGUGCAGGCGGGGAGGAGCUGAAAACGGAGACGUGAAGUCGGAUGCGCUGUGGUUCCUGUAGUUUGCUGCAUUUACAUCAGGCAUGGCUGAUCACGUGCCGUUUGCUUGCUUAAACGCAUUAAACAUGAUUUGUAACAUGUAAACUACAUAAAAAGUGAAUUAUACUGUUUUGGAUGUCCGUGUAUGAGCAUGAGUGGAACUGAAGAGGCUUACAGCAUCUGUUUUUACAAGAAUAAAGUUUAACAAAAGCAUAUAUUUUUUAAAUACCAAUGUAGUGGGGUCUACGUUUUUUAUCCAUUUUAUUUUGAUGAAGAUGGCACAAUAUA